Molecule: ribosomal RNA, 496 nt
Filed under: Phoma sp. CSE200
Lineage: Eukaryota; Fungi; Ascomycota; Dothideomycetes; Pleosporales; Didymellaceae
Description: eukaryotic LSU rRNA
Rfam family: 5.8S ribosomal RNA (bases 125-278)
Source: RNAcentral
GAUUUGGCAACAUCUCUUACCCAUGUCUUUUGAGUACUUACGUUUCCUCGGUGGGUUCGCCCGCCGAUUGGACAAUUUAAACCAUUUGCAGUUGCAAUCAGCGUCUGAAAAACAUAAUAGUUACAACUUUCAACAACGGAUCUCUUGGUUCUGGCAUCGAUGAAGAACGCAGCGAAAUGCGAUAAGUAGUGUGAAUUGCAGAAUUCAGUGAAUCAUCGAAUCUUUGAACGCACAUUGCGCCCCUUGGUAUUCCAUGGGGCAUGCCUGUUCGAGCGUCAUUUGUACCUUCAAGCUUUGCUUGGUGUUGGGUGUUUGUCUCGCCUUUGCGUGUAGACUCGCCUUAAAAGAAUUGGCAGCCGGCGUAUUGAUUUCGGAGCGCAGUACAUCUCGCGCUUUGCACUCAUAACGACGACGUCCAAAAGUACAUUUUAACACUCUUGACCUCGGAUCAGGUAGGGAUACCCGCUGAACUUAAGCAUAUCAAUAAGCGGAGGAA